Molecule: unclassified non-coding RNA, 371 nt
Filed under: Hevea brasiliensis (rubber tree)
Lineage: Eukaryota; Viridiplantae; Streptophyta; Magnoliopsida; Malpighiales; Euphorbiaceae
Source: RNAcentral
AGGAAAUCACACGAAAGCUCAAAUUAAUUGAACCUAGUGGUGGCCGAGAUACCCCAGCAAAUCAAAUUAAGAGAAGAAGGUAAUUAAAAAAAAAAAAUAAUCCAGAAGACUAAAAGGCACUUAGUGGAAGCGAAUUUUGUGGUGACCCUCCAGAGUUUGAUUCUCAGAAGUAGGGUUCAGUAGUAUUUCUCUUGCAAGCUAGCAGCUUUGUACAGUAAGACAUAGUCCAUUUUAUUGUCUUUAGAUUAACUUUUAUGUCAAAAACAUUUUGUCUUUUUCAUGAAAGCUGUUUAGAAGAUUUAGAUGGUGGUUACAUGGUACCAGUGAGUGAUAUGCUAAAUGGAAUUUCCUCAGCAUAAAAUGUCCUAGAG